UACGGGGGGGGCAAGCGUUGUUCGGAAUUACUGGGCGUAAAGGGCGCGUAGGCGGUUUGCUAAGUUGGAUGUGAAAACUCUGGGCUUAACCCAGAGCCUGCAUCCAAAACUGGCAAACUUGAGUACUGGAGGGGAAAGCGGAAUUCCUGGUGUAGCGGUGAAAUGCGUAGAUAUCAGGAGGAACACCGGUGGCGAAGGCGGGUCUCUGGGCAGUAACUGACGCUGAGGAGCGAAAGCGUGGGGAGCGAACAGG
Molecule: ribosomal RNA, 253 nt
Filed under: uncultured bacterium
Lineage: Bacteria
Description: partial 16S ribosomal RNA
Rfam family: Bacterial small subunit ribosomal RNA
Source: RNAcentral